Molecule: ribosomal RNA, 173 nt
Filed under: Asparagus racemosus
Lineage: Eukaryota; Viridiplantae; Streptophyta; Magnoliopsida; Asparagales; Asparagaceae
Description: partial large subunit ribosomal RNA
Rfam family: Eukaryotic large subunit ribosomal RNA
Source: RNAcentral
CGACCCCAGGUCAGGCGGGGCCACCCGCUGAGUUUAAGCAUAUCAAUAAGCGGAGGAGAAGAAACUUACAAGGAUUCCCCUAGUAACGGCGAGCGAACCGGAAUAGCCCAGUGGGGAAAAAUCCGGGUGGCUGCCCCCACCCCGAAUUGUAGUCAGGAGAAGCGUCAAUUUUU